UACGUAGGGUACGAGCGUUGUCCGGAAUUAUUGGGCGUAAAGAGCUCGUAGGUGGUUGGUCACGUCUGCUGUGGAAACGCAACGCUUAACGUUGCGCGUGCAGUGGGUACGGGCUGACUAGAGUGCAGUAGGGGAGUCUGGAAUUCCUGGUGUAGCGGUGAAAUGCGCAGAUAUCAGGAGGAACACCGGUGGCGAAGGCGGAUCUCUGGGCCUUACCUGACGCUCAGGCGCGAAAGCGUGGGGAGCGAACAGG
RNAcentral lists this ribosomal RNA (253 nucleotides) under uncultured bacterium. RNAcentral's name for it is "partial 16S ribosomal RNA". It matches the Rfam family "Bacterial small subunit ribosomal RNA", at positions 524 to 776 of the family's 1533-position model. The record is from RNAcentral.